RNAcentral lists this antisense RNA (75 nucleotides) under Streptomyces sp. PRh5. RNAcentral's name for it is "ASpks sRNA". It matches the Rfam family "ASpks TB sRNA". The record is from RNAcentral. Lineage: Bacteria; Bacillati; Actinomycetota; Actinomycetes; Kitasatosporales; Streptomycetaceae.
CUUGAUGGACCCCAGCCACAGCGGCUGCUCCGGGGCACGCUGCUGCCCGUAGGUGGCGAGCAGCGCCUGCGCCUC